GAUGAACGCUGGCGGCGUGCCUAAUACAUGCAAGUCGAGCGAACAGACGAGGAGCUUGCUCCUCUGACGUUAGCGGCGGACGGGUGAGUAACACGUGGAUAACCUACCUAUAAGACUGGGAUAACUUCGGGAAACCGGAGCUAAUACCGGAUAAUAUAUUGAACCGCAUGGUUCAAUAGUGAAAGACGGUUUUGCUGUCACUUAUAGAUGGAUCCGCGCCGCAUUAGCUAGUUGGUAAGGUAACGGCUUACCAAGGCAACGAUGCGUAGCCGACCUGAGAGGGGGAGCGGCCACACGGGAACUGAGACACGGUCCAGACUCCUACGGGAGGCAGCAGUAGGGAAUCUUCCGCAAUGGGCGAAAGCCUGACGGAGCAACGCCGCGUGAGUGAUGAAGGUCUUCGGAUCGUAAAACUCUGUUAUUAGGGAAGAACAAAUGUGUAAGUAACUAUGCACGUCUUGACGGUACCUAAUCAGAAAGCCACGGCUAACUACGUG
Molecule: ribosomal RNA, 497 nt
Filed under: uncultured bacterium
Lineage: Bacteria
Description: partial 16S ribosomal RNA
Rfam family: Bacterial small subunit ribosomal RNA
Source: RNAcentral